Long non-coding RNA from Dreissena polymorpha, 1113 nucleotides. RefSeq lists it as uncharacterized. The record is from RefSeq and is a predicted model, not a curated record. The transcript has 3 exons. NCBI's taxonomy places the organism in Eukaryota, Metazoa, Mollusca, Bivalvia, Myida, Dreissenidae.
GAUGAUGGAAAGUGGACAAAUUACCAUAAAUUCUGUCAAUUCGCUAGACGAUAUUGAUGUUGACGACGAAUGUAUUGAAGAUGAACAAUACUCUUCUGAAUCAUCAGAAAAUGAAAAUACUGAAGACCUCGAAACUCUUCUUCCCAGCCCCAGUCAACCAAAAAUAACAGACAAAGAAAAGGGUACUUCAAAUACCAGGAGAACAAAACAAGCAGCCAAAAAGCAAUGGAGUGAAAACGAAAAAGGAGCUGUUCACAGACACUUUGAUCGUUUUUUUGAUAAUGGGUAAAUUACCAGGGAAAAAAGAAAUACUUGCGUGUAUUGAAAGUGAGAAUGACCUUCACAACAGAAGUUGGAAAAAUGUCAAAGACGUUUGCAGAAAUUUAAUUGAAACAAAAAAGCGACGGGGACUUUUAACUCAAAAAAAUAUUACACAUAUAAUGCACGUUUAGGAGAAUACGUUAAAGGAUGAAGUUGCCACAUGUGUUUUGUGUGUUUUCUUGUUCUAUAUACUCUUUUCGAAAACGAUAUAUGUGUGCUUAUUGUAUUUGAAUGUUUUAUUAAUACGGUUCAGUCAAAAACGAUAUUUGUUCAUAAUCAUAUCGCCGAACAAAUUAGGAUUGGUAUAUAGUUCGGCCAAAGAGUGUUUCUUUGUACUUUCUAUUACGAGUUUCUACGAGUUACUCACUAUACAAGUUAUUUUUUACCCUAAACUUGGUGAAUAUGAAUGAAUAUAGCAAACAUGAUAACAAAUCAAUCUAGAAGGCUAAACGUUCAGAGAAGGCACAAAAAAAUUCAGUCGGAUAAAUGGAAACAAACAUUUUGUUCAAGCAUAACAAACAAAAACUUUAAGAUUUAAUAAGAUAAAUGUAAAUAACAUAAAAAACUACUGCUAAACUACUGCUACAAUGUGAUAAAUACAAAUGAAUAUUUUGUCAAUUUUACAAAAUUUGUUUUGAAUGACAGGUGUCUGACUUGCAGUUGAGUACUUAAUAGUUAUUUUAAAGUAAAAAUUUACCAAAAUGUAAAUUAUUGCGUAAGUAUUGCACUAGAAUUGAUUAAAUGGUUGUUAAAUAUUACAAUAAUUUCCUACACAGAUUUUUGUGCAUUUGU